AUCAGGCAGAAAAAUCAGAAGCUAAAGAGGGAAAAACCUGGACGAAUCACAGGCCUCACAGGACUCUCCCAUGAGCAGUGCCCCAAGGAAAGAGUGAAACCACUGACUGACCUUUCUCAUGCUGAAGCCAGUUGUUCUCCAGCGUGGUCCUGCCCCAGAGUGCGUUGGCUCCAUCCACCGCCACCAGCAGGCGGAACAGUCCCUGAGCACUUUGCCUCUUCAGCUCUUUGAGGACCACCCCAACGGCAUCGGUGGCGUUCCGCACCCGCGUGAUGCCCUGCAGACAUACUUCUGUUGAACUGUAAUCUAAAAACAAGCAAAGGAAACGAGAAUCAACAAGCAGCUAAAGGGGCCCUGAGAACAAGUCUGAGGAGGGGGCUUGGGGAGAGCAGAUACACGUUUGAUUUCUCAUAAAGGAUGUAAGAGAGAACAGUGUGAAAGGGAAUGAUUUUGAGCCCAUUUGUACCUGGGUCUUUAAAAACUGGCUUAGAAGGGUGCUUGGAAGCUUCUGGCUAAUUUUUUCUUCCACUUGCAACCUGCUUGUGGGAACAGUGGAGAGAUUGUGAUACCCUGUCGCAGCCCACUCUGCAUCCAGAGCGAAGGCGUCCCUGAGUGAUCUGACCCUGGUCAAAGUGAGUCAAGAUGCCACCAGGUAACAGAU
This is a long non-coding RNA of Sorex fumeus (smoky shrew), 661 nucleotides long. RefSeq lists it as uncharacterized. The transcript has 4 exons. The record is from RefSeq and is a predicted model, not a curated record. Lineage: Eukaryota; Metazoa; Chordata; Mammalia; Eulipotyphla; Soricidae.